The sequence is a ribosomal RNA, 594 nucleotides long. It matches the Rfam family "Eukaryotic large subunit ribosomal RNA", at positions 25 to 627 of the family's 3401-position model.
CCGCUGAACUUAAGCAUAUCAAUAAGCGGAGGAAAAGAAACUAACAAGGAUUCCCCUAGUAACUGCGAGUGAAGCGGGAAAAGCUCAAAUUUAAAAUCUGGCGGUCUUUGGCCGUCCGAGUUGUAGUCUGGAGAAGCGUCUUCCGCGCUGGACCGUGUAUAAGUCUCUUGGAACAGAGCGUCAUAGAGGGUGAGAAUCCCGUCUUUGACACGGACUACCAGUGCUUUGUGAUGCGCUCUCAAAGAGUCGAGUUGUUUGGGAAUGCAGCUCAAAAUGGGUGGUGAAUUCCAUCUAAAGCUAAAUAUUGGCGAGAGACCGAUAGCGAACAAGUACCGUGAGGGAAAGAUGAAAAGCACUUUGGAAAGAGAGUUAAACAGUACGUGAAAUUGCUGAAAGGGAAACGCUUGAAGUCAGUCGCGUUGUCCGGGACUCAGCCUUGCUUCGGCUUGGUGCACUUUCCGGAUGACGGGCCAGCAUCGAUUUUGACCGCUGGAAAAGGGCUGGAGGAAUGUGGCACCUUCGGGUGUGUUAUAGCCUCCAGUCGCAUACGGCGGUUGGGAUCGAGGAACGCAGCACGCCUCGUGGCGGGGGGUU